GAUAACCACAAUAAACAACCUCGCACUCUUAAAAGACUACUCAAAACUCAUAAAUUCCAUCCAACACCAAGAAUAACAAACUUCACUUCAACCAAUCAGGAUUCACAAAAUUUCUGUAAUCAUAGACUUCCUUUGUCUAAAACACAUACAACUCUCAAUAAACAACAAUUAUAAUCUUCCAUCCAUAAUCAAUCUUUUAAUAACUUCUCAUAUAAUUCAAUCACAUAAUACUCCAAUUACAUAAUGAAUAACUCAUAAAUCAAUCUCUGAUUUAUUCUACAGACUCACUUCUCUGCAUUCAAAAACUAUCCAUUAUUCUUCAACAACAAAGAAAACAAAGAAAACAAAGAGGUAGCACCAAGCUUAACCCCGGUUCAUAACUAUCAUAGUCUCGCCCCUCAACAAACUUCUAUAACUCCUAUAUAAUUGCUAUUGAUUUCGAGAUUCUAAUCGUAAUCCUAUAAUAAACUACUUUUAAUAACUAAAUCCAUCAUUCGUUCUCCUGAACUAACUAUUCUAUGGACUAAUAAUCUAUUUUACUAAUAUCUUAUAAAAAUAAAUUAAUAUCUAUUCUACAAUAAGUCCAAAAGGCAUGACAUUGUAUUCAAAAUGUCCAUACUUGGUGUGAAAUA
RNAcentral lists this long non-coding RNA (632 nucleotides) under Physcomitrium patens. RNAcentral describes it as "long non-coding RNA (PPAT_LNC014859)". The record is from RNAcentral. Lineage: Eukaryota; Viridiplantae; Streptophyta; Bryopsida; Funariales; Funariaceae.